This 439-nucleotide ribosomal RNA is filed under the name uncultured bacterium. RNAcentral's name for it is "bacterial SSU rRNA". It matches the Rfam family "Bacterial small subunit ribosomal RNA", at positions 28 to 478 of the family's 1533-position model. The record is from RNAcentral.
GACGAACGCUGGCGGCGCGCCUAACACAUGCAAGUCGAACGGAGCUGAGAGGAGCUUGCUUUUCUCAGCUUAGUGGCGAACGGGUGAGUAACGCGUGAGUAACCUGCCCUGGAGUGGGGGACAACAGUUGGAAACGACUGCUAAUACCGCAUAAGCCCACGAUCCGGCAUCGGAUUGAGGGAAAAGGAUUUAUUCGCUUCAGGAUGGACUCGCGUCCAAUUAGCUAGUUGGUGAGGUAACGGCCCACCAAGGCGACGAUUGGUAGCCGGACUGAGAGGUUGAACGGCCACAUUGGGACUGAGACACGGCCCAGACUCCUACGGGAGGCAGCAGUGGGGGAUAUUGCACAAUGGGGGAAACCCUGAUGCAGCGACGCCGCGUGGAGGAAGAAGGUUUUCGGAUUGUAAACUCCUGUCGUUAGGGACGAUAAUGACGGUAC